Non-coding RNA from Microcebus murinus (gray mouse lemur), 2009 nucleotides. NCBI's taxonomy places the organism in Eukaryota, Metazoa, Chordata, Mammalia, Primates, Cheirogaleidae. The record is from RefSeq and is a predicted model, not a curated record.
AUGGAACCCAGAAUCUGCAUUUUAGUGAGCCCUUCAAGUGAUUCAGACACAUACUUAAAUUUGAGACCACUGGUGUAGCCCCUGGUCCCAGGAAGUGAACUGGGGUACAUGCAUUUAUUUACCUGAUCCAAAGAAAAAGAAAGCUUUUGUAUUUGCCUCAGGAAACAGAAAAUGAAGGAUAGUGAAAGGAGAAUGUGUCAGAGAUGAAGAUGAUCAGCAGGAUGCUUAUGACUACGAAAUUCACCAGCGUGUGAAACAGGAGAAUGACUUGCAUUAACUCAGGGAAGAUGAGCAAUGAAUGCAUGAAUGCCUGUCUCUUCUUGUCUCUCUCUGCACUUAUCUGUGCCCUUCUAAAGAAAACUAAAGCCUACAGUAUCCUAGAAUCAACUCUGAUCCAAACAUCGUGAUUUCAAAUCAAGUUUGCGCCUGGCUACUCCUUUCCAAAGAAAGGAAACAUCAUCUGUCCAUGGCACUAGGGCCAUAAGAUGAUAUUUGACAGGGGAUUUCUUUUACAUAUAUAUAGAUCAGAGAUCUGGCUGGAAACCCAAAGAAAUUUCCCUCAGGUACUCUCAUAGGAGGAGCUUCUAUAACAAACAAGAAAAUGCAGUUUUUACAAAGAGAACAACUUUGAUUUCUACACAAAAUUUUACUUCCCACAAGGGCUUCUUAUUGCAGGAGUAGAAGCAAGAGCUCCUCUUUCCAGACUGCUGGGUGGGUACAGGGUUGACUCUAAGUGGGAGUGCCUACACUGGCUCCCAGCAAGGGUGACAAAUACUCAAGGACACAGAGUGUGAGCCUGGCAAUUGGGUAGGGUCCUAACACGCUCAACAUGGCAAAGCCCCUCACCAUAUUACCUUUUUCAGUAAAAUUAUCUAGAAACUCUCAAAGUUACCAAAGAUUUUGUGUUAUCAAAUAACAAUGAAAUCUGCCCCAAAAGGGCUUAAAACCUGUGCAUGAAAGAAAGAGAAGUAAAUGUCAUAUUACCAUUGGCUCUGCGGAAGCAGUAAUGUGCUGUGUAGAGACAGCAGGAAAGAAUCACACAUAACCAUGGUGACAUUUUUCUAAAGAUACUUCACUUAUGGAGGCAAGAAUCAGUACAUGUUCUCUAUUAUUUUGGCUAAGGCAGAAGUUCAGUAUAUGAAUGAUUCAUACUUUUAUUCAAUAACUAUUCCAUAAUUCCAUAAUUUCUACAUUUGGAAAAGACUAUAAAAAUUAAAUUAUACCCAAUUGCUAUAAAAAGUUUCCUCCAAAACAUGGUGUUAAUUGAAUGAUGGUGCAAUUUUUUUCUAGACUUUACCUUCUUAAAUAAUGCUACAGAUUUUUCCCAUAAAAAUAAAAUGUGUUUGAAAAUUGGAGUGGACAUAACACUUUUAAAUUCAGGUCAGAUAACCACUGAUCUGCUCUCCAUUUCUAUAAUCUUGUCACCUCAAGACUGUUAUAUAAAUGGUAUCAUACAGAAUUUAAUCUUUAGGACUUUCAUGAAGCAUAAUUCUCUUACAUUUGGACCAAGAUGUUACACUCUGACACUAGGGAACAAAGGGAAACAUGGGUGAGAAACUAUAUAUAUAACAUACCAAAAAAAAUAGCCACAAGACUGUAAAUGUGGAAAGGAAGACGCAUCCCUCGCUUUUCUUAAUUUGGGGCAGAAAAAAAGAAGGGAGGAGUAUCAAAGGGAAUUUUUAAGGGUAAAUCAGGCUUGCAUUUGUUUAGCGAUAGAAAAGUCAGUAAAGAUGAAGAGAUUAGAGGUCUAAGAAAAAUGAGGAGAUUUUGAGGGAAUAAAUCCCAAAGAAGAAAAGAAUUUGAUGAAAUUCAACAUAUACUCAUGUUUUUAAAAUACUUAAUUGAAUCAGGGAAUGAUGGAUACUUCCUUAAGAUAGGAAAAUAUAUAAAUUUCAGCCAAAAGCCACCAAUUUAGUUUGAAAACACUGGAGUCAAAACCCGAAUGCCUACAGUCUUCAUUAUUAUUUAGGAUAUGUUAAAGAUAUUAGAAAAUACAAUUUUAAUAGGAA